AAAGUAUCAGGAUUCAAUCCCCCAUCCCGAUGGAUUUCUGUCUUGACUGCGCCCCCCCCCCUUCCUGGAUUUAACAGCAGCAAUACCUAAAACACGGAGGGAUCUAAGCUCGUGGCGUGGGGUGGGGGAGGGAAGGAUUUUGCAAUAUAAACAUUGUGGGGGGGGACACACCACUUUGCAGUAGGAUUGCCGGGAUCAGCCCCUCCCCCAUUCUCCUGAUUCUCAGGAGGAAGAGGGGAGGGGGGACACCUUCCUCUCCUCCCCGCCCCCCAAGUUCCACCCUUCCCAGACCCCGCCUCCGCAAAGCCCAAAUCCCCUCCCCAAUAUGUUGCUCCUCUUCCUCGCCAUCCGGCUCCUGCUUCGGGAAAGUGGGGGCGGGGUGAACCCCCCUCCCAACCUGCCUGCUUCUCCCGCAAGUGGAGCUUCUGCGCCGGAUUGCUGCUCUGCGCCGUAGCUCUAGGGGGGGGGCGCUUUCGGAAAGGGGAGGAGGGGCAGCAGGUAAAAUCCCCCCCCACCCACGUGGAUGUUGCAGGAAAGGAAAGGAGAAUCGGGAGCGAGGACAAAGAGGCAGUGUCAGAGUGACUGACAAGCUGAGAUACAAUCCAUCAGCAUCCGAUGACAGCGACUGCAUGAAUCUUCCCAGUCAAAGGACCCAUUUUCUUGAUAGACAGUGCCUGUGGCUGGAGGCUCUACACAGGUGUGCCUGUGCAGGCCAAAGACUGCCAGUAUUAGCACAGGUGAGGUGUGUGACCUUCCCAAAUUUACAGACUGUAUGUAAAUGAGAAGUUGUGGGUGGGAUUAUAUUUUACACAGCAACCCUGUGAUUUUCUCCACCCAUAACAUUUCAUGAGCUGAUAUUGCAGUACAAAUUCCAAAAUAACUACAAAAAACCCCACAAGAUAAUAAUAAUAAUUGUAGUAUUUAUACCCCGCCCAUCUGGUUGGGUUUCCCCAGCCACUCUGGCCAGCUUCCAGUACAUAUAAAAGACAGGAAAACAUUAAACAUUAAAAACCUCCUGACACAAGGCUGCCUUCUCCUGUCUUCUAAAUGUCAGGUAGUUGUUCAUUUCCUUGACCCCUGAAGGGAGGGGGUUCCACAGGGCAGGCACCACCACCGAGAAGGCCCUCUGCCUGGUUCCCUGUAACCUCACUUAUCACAGAGAGGGGCCAGCAGAAGACCCUCAGAGGAGGACCUCAGGGAUCAGAGUGAAGGA
RNAcentral lists this long non-coding RNA (1213 nucleotides) under Podarcis muralis (Common wall lizard). Its description in RNAcentral is "lncRNA (ENSPMRG00000012762.1)". The record is from RNAcentral. Lineage: Eukaryota; Metazoa; Chordata; Lepidosauria; Squamata; Lacertidae.